RNAcentral lists this ribosomal RNA (253 nucleotides) under uncultured bacterium. RNAcentral's name for it is "partial 16S ribosomal RNA". It matches the Rfam family "Bacterial small subunit ribosomal RNA", at positions 524 to 776 of the family's 1533-position model. The record is from RNAcentral.
UACGUAGGGUGCAAGCGUUAAUCGGAAUUACUGGGCGUAAAGGGCGCGCAGGCGGCUCUGAAAGUCAGAUGUGAAAGCCCCGGGCUUAACCUGGGAAUUGCAUUUGAUACUCUGGAGCUUGAGUACGGGAGAGGAGAGUGGAAUUCCCAGUGUAGAGGUGAAAUUCGUAGAUAUUGGGAAGAACACCGGUGGCGAAGGCGGCUCUCUGGACCGUAACUGACGCUGAGGCGCGAAAGCGUGGGGAGCAAACAGG